UACAUUCGGUCUCCCCUCUCUCUGGUCUCCCGGCGGGCAGGUUCAUUUGCAAAACAGAGCAGACUCGCUAUUUUCAUAGACCUAUUACCCUUCAUCAUUUGCACCUCGAAGUUUUCUUUAGAACUGUGCCUUUUCAAUGCCGGGAACAAUUCAAAUUUCAGUCCUGGAUAUUGUGAAUCUUCCCUCUCAAUCACCUCCUUCUUCCAUGUCCAUCAAAGUAACAAUGGGGAAAAAGGAGUAUCAGAUUGGUGAUGAUGGCGAUUUCUCAAUUCCAUUAACUACCCUCCGCGAGAAUUUGGUUGUGAGACUACUAGACAAGGAUGGGAACGAGGUGUCUCGAACAGGUGUUGAGACCAAAUUGGCUGUUGAGAAAGGCCUUUGGGAUGAUUUCUUCCCUUUUGAAGGCGGUGGGGAAGUGCAUUUGAAGAUCCGGUUCACCCUCAGCGAUGAAGAGCAGAAUCGAAUACGAAUGAUGAGACUAUCUGCACUAAAGAAGAAGCACGGUGAACUUCUCAACCCCACUUCUAAAGUUGCCGGGAGUGCUUCAGCUGCUCGGAGUAAAGUUGCCACUGAAGGGAAUUUACAAAUUUCAGGAUCACUUGGACACCCUCAAGUUGGAUUUGAGAAGAUCAAAGCAGAAAUGGCACAAGGCGCUGCAGUACCAGAUUCUUCUGAAGAAGCUGAUGCAAAAUCUGGAAUUUGUAAACUGACUCGGCCUAGUCAGAAGCAAAUAAUCCCAGUCAAGGAUCAUACAAGUCAUACAGAUAGAAGUGAAGAUACUUCACCAAGUACUCCAUGUCGGAGGAUUGAUACAAGCCCAACUGGAGUUAGCUCGAAGAAAAUUUUCAAAAAGAUUGAGAACCAGUCAUCAUAUAAUGCUGUUCUUGCAGCACGUUUGAAAGAAGAAAAAGAUUCUUUGUUUCCUCACUUGACGUCAACCUCCUCCACUGUGAAAACCUCUUUGGUCUUUCCUGGACUUGAGAAAGGCGUCACUUGCAAUACGGAGGCACAAGAUCCUCUCGAGAGGACUCCAAGCAAUGUAAGGAAAGUCAUAAGUGUGUUUGAAAGUAGUCUAGCUCAGGAUAUGCAACCUUGUAUAAAAGCACCACCGGCUGAAACAGAACCGAGCACGUCCAGAACGGAAGAUUUUGCUAACCAUCAAUUUAAAAAAAUUAAGACAGAUAGUAAAGGAGCUGAGCCGAUUCCGCAGAAGGUCCAUAGUCCUUUUCUUAAUGAAGAGUCGCAGCAAGCUGCAUCUCGAAGUGAAACAGGAGCUGGUCCAACUAGACCACUGCACGUUACUAAAUCUUCUCAUGACACUGGGCGCUCGAAUAUAACAGCGACGGAGAAUCAACCAGAUAGUUCACAUGAUUGGUCUUCGGAGCAACAUGAAUCUAGGGGCAAUGUGGUUGGAAGGAGUGGAAAAGCAAUAGAUUCCGUAGAUUCACAAAAAAUAAAAUUUCGAAGAGCUCCGAACGAUAAAGUGAAGUCAAUGAGUUGCUGCCAAAGGGACCAUGAUGCAUUUGAGAGGUCAGGACCGUCAGGUGCGUGGAUAUUUCCUUACGAACCCAGUAACCUUUGUAUUACUUCGGGAGGGAAACAGGCAACGCAUCUGAUGGGAUGCUGCAGUAUCGAAACGAGUACAUUGAGGGGGAAAAUUAGGAUGUCGAUGCCUGAAAAUGCUGGAGAGCAUACAAAGGGGAGAAGAAACGAAAACGAGGCGAAGAAAGACCAGACGAAUUCUUACAGGAAGACGAGACCAAAAACCGACAAUUCAACAGAUGUCGAUUCUUCUGGAGGACCGAUCGGGCAGUGACUUGUGAAUCAACUGGCAUCGACUAUCAGUACAUUAUAAUCAGUGAAAAAACGCAACUCGGACCAAAAGAGCGAGAAUCCCGUCAAUCGCUAAAUGUUUCUCCCUCCUUGCUAGGUGAUGAAAGUUGCAAUUAUGGUAGGAUUUGGGGCUCUUGUUCUGCUCACCAGGCAAAGAAAAGACAGGUAACAUUGCAUGGUGGUGAAGCAGCCAUUGGAGGAAACAUCACAUGCUCGAGCUAGAACAAUGUCUGGUCACGAAGUCAUAUCUGCUUGUUCAUGGUUUUGAAUUAUCUGCAAAAGCUACCAGCACCCUCUCUCCUUUUGCCUUGUUUUACAUGAGUGAAGGAUCUUCAUGUAAAGUGCCAUGGGAGUUGUAACUGUACAUUCAUUCUCGAAGCGACUCGACGAUCUUGAAAUGCAGAUCAUCUUCUCCU
Molecule: RNA transcript, 2249 nt
Organism: Rhodamnia argentea
Lineage: Eukaryota; Viridiplantae; Streptophyta; Magnoliopsida; Myrtales; Myrtaceae
Exons: 12
Source: RefSeq, a predicted model, not a curated record